RNAcentral lists this unclassified non-coding RNA (175 nucleotides) under soil metagenome. Its description in RNAcentral is "partial contains 5.8S ribosomal RNA, internal transcribed spacer 2, and large subunit ribosomal RNA". The record is from RNAcentral.
AACGCACGAGACCUGCGGACCUGCGGAGGGAUCAUUACUGAAUGGCCCUCAGGCCUUCAACCCUACAAACCUGUGGAAGCGAAAUGUGCUUCGGCGCUCCGGCGUCGCUUUUACGCUACGAACACUGUGUGUCAGUUUCCAAAGAGAAAGACAAAACUUUCAACAAUGGAUCUCU